AUCAUCUUAGAUUUACUUUUGGUGAUCGCUGGAGAUAAGGUAAGCUUUCAAGUUUGAUUAAUUUCAUGCAUCUAAUUUAGUUGUAUAGAACCUCUUGUUUGAAAUUAGUUGUGCAUAUUCAUCUCAAAUCAACUUAAGAAUAACACCCAUAACAAGAUAAGGUGAGGAUUUCAUCACCCUUUCUUAGCCCAAAAGCAACCAACUAGCAUCCUGCAUGAACCCAAGCCUAAUUAAAUUAAGUAGAUGUUGACCCCUA
Molecule: long non-coding RNA, 256 nt
Filed under: Elaeis guineensis (African oil palm)
Lineage: Eukaryota; Viridiplantae; Streptophyta; Magnoliopsida; Arecales; Arecaceae
Description: long non-coding RNA (EGUI_LNC033650)
Source: RNAcentral